Molecule: non-coding RNA, 877 nt
Organism: Aegilops tauschii subsp. strangulata
Lineage: Eukaryota; Viridiplantae; Streptophyta; Magnoliopsida; Poales; Poaceae
Source: RefSeq, a predicted model, not a curated record
CAAGAAAGGAACAAGAAAUGAAAUGGUGUUACAAAGGCUCCUGUCAUAACAUUUCUUAGUCAGUAGUUCACAUUUUUGUAAUGGUUGCAAGGCUCCUGUCAUUCUACUCAUUUUCUGUGUGUAUAUCCUUGUUAUGGUACCAUGAUGUACUCAUCUUUUGUCAUUGCUAGCAGGAGUAUGGAUUUGAACAUGAUGCCUCAAGAGGAAGACGAUGAAGGUAUUAAUUUGAAUUUGAUGCCUCAAGAGGAGGAACCUCAAGUGGCAGAGAAUGUAGUUAUGGAUUUGAACUUGAUGCCUCAAGAGGAAGACGAUGAAGAUAUGAAUUGGAUGCCUCAAGAAGAUGAAGGGAAAGAGGAUGAAGUUAUGAAUUGGAUACUUCAAGAGAAGAGAAGAGAAUUGUCAGAUAAGGAGAGGCAUGGUGUUUACUUUGCCUUGCUGGUAAUCGAGCUCAGAGAUGGGUCUGUUCAACCAGACGACAAGCUGCUAGUCUCAAACCUGUUGGACAUAAGUGUACGAUCUGUUGAAAGAAUCUAGGAAGAGGCUAAAAAGCAAAUUGCCGAUGGCAAAGAAGUAGAUGUCUCAAGCAAGAAGCCAGGAAGAUCCGGCAGAAAGAGAAAGGAGCUAGAUCUAGAGAGGACCUCAACAAUCCCACUGAAUAAAAGAAGAACAAUUCGAUCUCUGGCACGGUCUCUAGGUGUGGCCCGAUCGACCCUACAUAAGAGGUUCCAGUUGAAUGAGCUCAACCGCAUCACAAGCACCGUGAAGCCUCAUCUCAAGCUAGAGAACAAGCUUGCGAGAUUGAAAUUUUGUAUGUCCAUGGUCGAUGACAAUUCGAUCUCAACUUCUCGGGCUAUGUUAAAACCAAUGACGAAUAUGG